CCUACGGGUGGCAGCAGUGGGGAAUAUUGCACAAUGGGCGCAAGCCUGAUGCAGCCAUGCCGCGUGUGUGAAGAAGGCCUUCGGGUUGUAAAGCACUUUCAGCGGGGAGGAAGGCGUUAAGGUUAAUAACCUUGUCGAUUGACGUUACCCGCAGAAGAAGCACCGGCUAACUCCGUGCCAGCAGCCGCGGUAAUACGGAGGGUGCAAGCGUUAAUCGGAAUUACUGGGCGUACAGCGCACGCAGGCGGUCUGUCAAGUCGGAUGUGAAAUCCCCGGGCUCAACCUGGGAACUGCAUUCGAAACGGGCAGGCUAGAGUCGUGUAGAGGGGGGUAGAAUUCCAGGUGUAGCGGUGAGAUGCGUAGAGAUCUGGAGGAAUACCGGUGGCGAAGGCGGCCCCCUGGACAAAGACUGACGCUCAGGUGCGAAAGCGUGGGGAGCAAACAGGAUUAGAUACCCGAGUAGUC
RNAcentral lists this ribosomal RNA (465 nucleotides) under uncultured Klebsiella sp. RNAcentral's name for it is "bacterial SSU rRNA". It matches the Rfam family "Bacterial small subunit ribosomal RNA", at positions 338 to 795 of the family's 1533-position model. The record is from RNAcentral. Lineage: Bacteria; Pseudomonadati; Pseudomonadota; Gammaproteobacteria; Enterobacterales; Enterobacteriaceae.